CUGUGCCUGGGGGGUGUUUGGGGGUGUUUGGGGGUUGAUUGAGGGGUGCUUGGAGGACUGUUUGGGGUGUGUUUGGGGCAGUGUGGGGAGGGGCUUGGUGUGUGCUUUUGGGGUGUUUGGGGGGGUCUACUUGGGGUCUGAGCAUGAGGGGUGCUUGGGGGGUGUUUAGGUUGGCGUGAUUGGGGGUAUGCGCAUGGGGGACUUGGGGGAUGCUUGGGGUCUGUGCGUAGGGGGUGCUUGGGGAGUGCUUGGGGGGUGUUUAGGGGUUGCUCAGGUGCUUGGAGGAAUGUUUGGGGGCAUUAGGGGGGUGUUUUGAGGUUGCUUGAGGUCUGUGUGUGCUUGGAGGGGUGUUUAUGAGUUGAUUACAAGGUUCUUGGAUGAAUGUUUGGGGUGUGCUUGGGGGAUGCUUAGGGAUACGUGUUUGGGGGUGUGUGCAUGGGGGGCUUGGGGUGUGCUUGCUGCCGAAGCCUGUCCAAGACAACUUUGGGCUCUCUUUUGCUCGCUUGCUGCAGCGAGUCACUCUGAAAGCACGCCUGGUUUGGGGUAACCGCCCCUGUGUGAAGCUGGCAUGGUUCCUCGAAGUUUGCUCUUCCUGUGGGCACGGUGCGAGUGGCAGGAAGAAAUCCUGUGCCUUGAGAUGUGAAGUAGGAAGACAAACAGCAUUUGAGGUAAACAGGCCGUCAGUAGAGAGGUGAUAGGUAUGAUUGCACAGCCGGGAAAGUAAAGUAGGUCAUGAGUUCCCACUGCCCAAGUAGUCCUGGAGUAAAUACAUAUGCAUGCAGUUGGUGAAGAUAUUAGAGAUACAGACGUGAAUGGAGGAUCUGUUGAGAUUAAGGGAUGUACUUGCAGGCUGCCUUAAAAGUUAGGUACUUUAAAGGAAUAAUAUGGACAUGAAAGCGUACUCUCUGUGGUCACAACUUCAGAACCUGGAAGUGUUCUGUUUGAUUCCAAGACUCGAGAUGUAACAUCUUCCUUCCUAUUUGGAAGGAAUUGGGAAUUCCAGAUGCAUUCCUUGGAGUUCUGUGGAUGCCAUGAUCUUGCAUUUUUGGUGGUUGGCAUCCUUUUUGCCUUGCAUUAGUAUCUUGAGUGAACAGGUCUAGUUUGAUAGCCAGCAGAUUUUACCUUUUCAGCUUUUAAAGUCUGAUAGUGGUUUGCAUGCAUGUCUUGACUUCACUAGAAAUUCUGCUGCAGGCAUAUUGCUGAAGUUUUUUCUCCAGUUAAGUUUGAUAUGAUCCAUCAAGUGAAAGCGUAUGUUCUAAA
This 1260-nucleotide long non-coding RNA is filed under the name Anser cygnoides (Swan goose). Its description in RNAcentral is "lncRNA (ENSACDG00005004756.1)". Lineage: Eukaryota; Metazoa; Chordata; Aves; Anseriformes; Anatidae. The record is from RNAcentral.